CGGGGUGCACCAGGCGCGAAAACUCUACAAUGCAGGCAACUGCGAUAGGGGAACAUCGAGUGAUCCUCAUAUUGGGGGUCUGUCCCACCGUCUAAAAAACGGUGGUUAGCGAGGGCCGGGCAAGACCGGUGCCAGCCGCCGCGGUAAUACCGGCGGCUCGAGUGGUGGCCGAUAUUAUUGAGUCUAAAGGGUCCGUAGCCGGCUUUGCAAGUCUCUCGGGAAAUCCAGCGGCUUAACCGUUGGUCGUCCGGGGGGUACUACAUUGCUUGGGACUGGGAGAGGUAGGAGGUACUCAGGGGGUAGGAGUGAAAUCCUGUAAUCCUCUGGGGACCACCGGUGGCGAAGGCGUCCUACCAGAACAGGUCCGACGGUGAGGGACGAAAGCUAGGGGCACGAACCGGAUUAGAUACCCGGGUAGUCCUAGCCGUAAACGAUGCUCGCUAGGUGUCACAACAGUCGUGAACUGUUGUGGUGCCGUAGGGAAGCCGUGAAGCGAGCCACUUGAGAAGUACGACCGCAAGGUUGAAACUUAAAGGAAUUGGCGGGGGA
This 549-nucleotide ribosomal RNA is filed under the name uncultured archaeon. RNAcentral's name for it is "bacterial SSU rRNA". It matches the Rfam family "Archaeal small subunit ribosomal RNA", at positions 326 to 875 of the family's 1478-position model. The record is from RNAcentral.